Long non-coding RNA from Haliotis rufescens (red abalone), 238 nucleotides. RefSeq lists it as uncharacterized. The transcript is spliced from 2 exons. The record is from RefSeq and is a predicted model, not a curated record. NCBI's taxonomy places the organism in Eukaryota, Metazoa, Mollusca, Gastropoda, Lepetellida, Haliotidae.
UUACCCUGUGGCUUACAUGGAUGUAAUGUGUGGGGAAAACUAUCCUUAAAGGAAUAUGAAAUGCUAGAAAUCACUCAACGCUAUUUCUGUAAGAAAACCCAGGGUUAUGGAAACUUGCUCUCGAUAGACCAGAAUAUUUUACUUCCUUAGCUAGACUAGUUUGCUUAGGUUCAAUGCCAAUAGAAUCAAAGGAAUGUAUUUGUGGAACAGUUGCGAAUGAUAUAGUGAAACACGUUUU